GACGAACGCUGGCGGCGUGCUUAACACAUGCGAGUCGAACGGAAAGGCCCUGCUUUUGUGGGGUGCUCGAGUGGCGAACGGGUGAGUAACACGUGAGUAACCUGCCCUUGACUUUGGGAUAACUUCAGGAAACUGGGGCUAAUACCGGAUAGGAGCUCCUGCUGCAUGGUGGGGGUUGGAAAGUUUCGGCGGUUGGGGAUGGACUCGCGGCUUAUCAGCUUGUUGGUGGGGUAGUGGCUUACCAAGGCUUUGACGGGUAGCCGGCCUGAGAGGGUGACCGGCCACGUUGGGACUGAGAUACGGCCCAGACUCCUACGGGAGGCAGCAGUGGGGAAUAUUGCACAAUGGGCGGAAGCCUGAUGCAGCAACGCCGCGUGCGGGAUGACGGCCUUCGGGUUGUAAACCGCUUUCGCCUGUGACGAAGCGUGAGUGACGGUAAUGGGUAAAGAAGCACCGGCUAACUACGUG
Molecule: ribosomal RNA, 468 nt
Filed under: uncultured bacterium
Lineage: Bacteria
Description: partial 16S ribosomal RNA
Rfam family: Bacterial small subunit ribosomal RNA
Source: RNAcentral